RNAcentral lists this ribosomal RNA (253 nucleotides) under uncultured bacterium. RNAcentral's name for it is "partial 16S ribosomal RNA". It matches the Rfam family "Bacterial small subunit ribosomal RNA", at positions 524 to 776 of the family's 1533-position model. The record is from RNAcentral.
GACGGAGGAUGCAAGCGAUAUACGGAAUUAUUGGGCGUAAAGGGGGCGUAGGUGGUCAGACAAGUCCCAUGUCAAAGCAUGGUGCUUAACGCCAUAAAGGCGUGGGAAACUGUGUGACUAGAGUCCAGCAGGGGCAGGAGGAAUUCCCGGUUUAGCGGUGAAAUGCGUAGAUACCGGGAAGAACACCAGUGGCGCUAGCGUUCUGCUGGGCUGUAACUGACACUGAGGCACUAAAGCUAGGGGAGCGAAAGGG